RNAcentral lists this transfer RNA (84 nucleotides) under Micromonosporaceae bacterium. RNAcentral's name for it is "tRNA-Leu". It matches the Rfam family "tRNA". From Rfam's summary of the family: Transfer RNA (tRNA) molecules are approximately 80 nucleotides in length. Their secondary structure includes four short double-helical elements and three loops (D, anti-codon, and T loops). The record is from RNAcentral. Lineage: Bacteria; Bacillati; Actinomycetota; Actinomycetes; Micromonosporales; Micromonosporaceae.
GCGGGAGUGGCGGAAUGGCAGACGCGCCAGCCUUAGGAGCUGGUGCCUUCGGGCGUGGGGGUUCAAGUCCCCCCUCCCGCACAA